AAUCCAUAGGUUAAUGAGGCGAACCGGGGGAACUGAAACAUCUAAGUACCCCGAGGAAAAGAAAUCAACCGAGAUUCCCCCAGUAGCGGCGAGCGAACGGGGAGGAGCCCAGAGCCUGAAUCAGCAUGUGUGUUAGUGGAAGCGUCUGGAAAGGCGCGCGAUACAGGGUGACAGCCCCGUACACAAAAGCGCAUGUGCUGUGAGCUCGAUGAGUAGGGCGGGACACGUGGUAUCCUGUCUGAAUAUGGGGGGACCAUCCUCCAAGGCUAAAUACUCCUGACUGACCGAUAGUGAACCAGUACCGUGAGGGAAAGGCGAAAAGAACCCCGGCGAGGGGAGUGAAAAAGAACCUGAAACCGUGUACGUACAAGCAGUGGGAGCACCCUUUGGGUGUGACUGCGUACCUUUUGUAUAAUGGGUCAGCGACUUAUAUUCUGUAGCAAGGUUAACCGAAUAGGGGAGCCGGAGGGAAACCGAGUCUUAACCGGGCGUUAAGUUGCAGGGUAUAGACCCGAAACCCGGUGAUCUAGCCAUGGGCAGGUUGAAGGUUGGGUAACACUAACUGGAGGACCGAACCGACUAAUGUUGAAAAAUUAGCGGAUGACCUGUGGCUGGGGGUGAAAGGCCAAUCAAACCGGGAGAUAGCUGGUUCUCCCCGAAAGCUAUUUAGGUAGCGCCUCGUGAAUUCAUCUCCGGGGGUAGAGCACUGUUUCGGCUAGGGGGCCAUCCCGGCUUACCAACCCGAUGCAAACUGCGAAUACCGGAGAAUGUUAUCACGGGAGACACACGGCGGGUGCUAACGUCCGUCGUGAAGAGGGAAACAACCCAGACCGCCAGCUAAGGUCCCAAAGUCAUGGUUAAGUGGGAAACGAUGUGGGAAGGCCCAGACAGCCAGGAUGUUGGCUUAGAAGCAGCCAUCAUUUAAAGAAAGCGUAAUAGCUCACUGGUCGAGUCGGCCUGCGCGGAAGAUGUAACGGGGCUAAACCAUGCACCGAAGCUGCGGCAGCGACACUGUGUGUUGUUGGGUAGGGGAGCGUUCUGUAAGCCUGUGAAGGUGUGUCGUGAGGCAUGCUGGAGGUAU
Molecule: ribosomal RNA, 1081 nt
Filed under: Salmonella enterica
Lineage: Bacteria; Pseudomonadati; Pseudomonadota; Gammaproteobacteria; Enterobacterales; Enterobacteriaceae
Also listed under: 1 other name
Description: partial 23S ribosomal RNA
Rfam family: Bacterial large subunit ribosomal RNA
Source: RNAcentral